Molecule: ribosomal RNA, 567 nt
Filed under: uncultured bacterium
Lineage: Bacteria
Description: bacterial SSU rRNA
Rfam family: Bacterial small subunit ribosomal RNA
Source: RNAcentral
AGAGUUUGAUCAUGGCUCAGAAUGAACGUUGGCGGCGUGGAUUAGGCAUGCAAGUCGAGCGCCCCGCAAGGGGAGCGGCGCAAGAGUGAGUAAGGCGACGGUAACCAACCCCACGAUUGGGAAUAGCCGCGGGAAACUGCGGGUAAUGCCCAGCGACGUCAUAGGGAGGCAUCUCCCGGUGACCAAAGCUCCGGCGUCGUGGGACGGGCCGUCGUGGUAUUAGCUUGUUGGCGGGGUGACGGCCCACCAAGGCUGCGAUGCCUACCGGGCGUGCGAGCGUGGCCCGGCACACUGGGACUGAGACACUGCCCAGACUCCUACGGGAGGCUGCAGUCGAGAAUCUUCGGCAAUGGGCGCAAGCCUGACCGAGCGACGCCGCGUGGAGGACGAAGGCCUUCGGGUUGUAAACUCCUGUCGAGGGGGAGGAAGGGGUAAAACCUUGACCGAUCCCUGGAGGAAGCACGGGCUAAGUUCGUGCCAGCAGCCGCGGUAAGACGAACCGUGCGAACGUUAUUCGGAAUCACUGGGCUUAAAGCGCGUGUAGGCGGGCCGGCACGUCGGUCGCUG